GAUCUGUCAGUUUCUUGCACAACUCAAGAAAGAUGCAGAUCAGCAAUGGGGAGGACCUUAGGGAAUAUCCUGGGACUUCGCAGACCUGCACAGUAAGACCAGGAAAAAAAGAUAAACCUUUUGAAAUGGGGAGAAAAUUAAGAGGUUGGCAAAACUUAAUAGCUUUAGCAAACAUUAUUAUGGACCUCUGACAGAUGUUAAAAGAAUGGAGACAGAUCUUUAACAUAUUUGAUAUAUCAUCUCUACUUGGAAGGUUCAGGGAUACUAAUCCAGACUGAAUUAAGUUCAACAGUAUCCUGAGGUCAAGUUUCUGGAAUAGAAACACCAAGGGCACAGAAUACUUUAGGAGUACAUUUGAAAUCUGCAUCUUUAUUUUGUUCCAAACCCAGGGAUGAACCUUUGCACAGAAAGAUUACUAGAGCUUUCAAUGGGAAAUCACUCUCCCUAGGUUCCUCCAGCCCAAGCCAAGAUCCACUCAUCUCUUCGACAACUAUAUACAUUGUGCCAGGUGCUGGAGAUUGCAUGAAUGAAACACACUGUUCUUGUUCUCUAGAGAUGUAUACUAGUGAGAUAGAUGGACAAAAAUAAGCAUAGUUAUGAUUGACCAUAAGUAUUGUAAAGGGAAUAAACAGGGGCACUAAAGGGGCCUGACAAAGGCACCAUCUUUGGUUAGGGUGGCUAGGCAAGGGCUCCCUGGAGAGUGAGUCUAUGACAGAACAGUCAUCAAUGAACAUUCCUUCCCUGACUUAUUCUUGCCUCAUUCCACAUUCUUUUCCAAGUAGGUGGCUGAUGAACAGGUCAAAACCUAAAUAUACUGUGGCAGGAAUGGACUGGACAUACCAAAAAGGUUGCUUUAGAAAUCAGUCAUGAAAGGGCACCUAGGUGGCUCAUUGCUUGGGUAUCUAACUCCUGGUUUCAGCUCAGGGAGUGAUCGCAAGGUUAUGGGGUCCAGCCCUGCAUUGGGCUUCAUG
Canis lupus familiaris (dog) is the source of this 971-nucleotide long non-coding RNA. RefSeq lists it as uncharacterized. The record is from RefSeq and is a predicted model, not a curated record. Lineage: Eukaryota; Metazoa; Chordata; Mammalia; Carnivora; Canidae. The transcript has 3 exons.